GACGAACGCUGGCGGCGUGCUUAACACAUGCAAGUCGAGCGGUAAGGCCCUUUCGGGGGUACACGAGCGGCGAACGGGUGAGUAACACGUGGGUGACCUGCCCUUAGCUCUGGGAUAAGCCUGGGAAACUGGGUCUAAUACCGGAUAUGACUCCAUGACGCAUGUUGUGGGGUGGGAAGCCUUGUGCGGCUAGGGAUGGGCCCGCGGCCUAUCAGCUUGUUGGUGGGGUGAUGGCCUACCAAGGCGACGACGGGUAGCCGGCCUGAGAGGGCGACCGGCCACACUGGGACUGAGACACGGCCCAGACUCCUACGGGAGGCAGCAGUGGGAAUCUUGCGCAAUGGGCGAAAGCCUGACGCAGCGACGCCGCGUGA
RNAcentral lists this ribosomal RNA (374 nucleotides) under uncultured bacterium. Its description in RNAcentral is "bacterial SSU rRNA". It matches the Rfam family "Bacterial small subunit ribosomal RNA", at positions 28 to 404 of the family's 1533-position model. The record is from RNAcentral.